This 460-nucleotide ribosomal RNA is filed under the name Nocardiaceae bacterium 'ARUP UnID 453'. RNAcentral describes it as "bacterial SSU rRNA". It matches the Rfam family "Bacterial small subunit ribosomal RNA", at positions 27 to 504 of the family's 1533-position model. Lineage: Bacteria; Bacillati; Actinomycetota; Actinomycetes; Mycobacteriales; Nocardiaceae. The record is from RNAcentral.
GGACGAACGCUGGCGGCGUGCUUAACACAUGCAAGUCGAGCGGUAAGGCCCUUCGGGGUACACGAGCGGCGAACGGGUGAGUAACACGUGGGUGAUCUACCCUGUACUUCGGGAUAAGCCUGGGAAACUGGGUCUAAUACCGGAUAUGACCUCUGGGUGCAUGCCUGGGGGUGGAAAGAUUUAUCGGUACAGGAUGGGCCCGCGGCCUAUCAGCUUGUUGGUGGGGUAAUGGCCUACCAAGGCGACGACGGGUAGCCGGCCUGAGAGGGCGACCGGCCACACUGGGACUGAGACACGGCCCAGACUCCUACGGGAGGCAGCAGUGGGGAAUAUUGCACAAUGGGCGGAAGCCUGAUGCAGCGACGCCGCGUGAGGGAUGACGGCCUUCGGGUUGUAAACCUCUUUCGACAGGGACGAAGCGCAAGUGACGGUACCUGUAGAAGAAGCACCGGCCAACUAC